UACAGAGGGUGCGAGCGUUAAUCGGAAUUACUGGGCGUAAAGGGCGCGUAGGUGGAUCAGAAAGUUGGGUGUGAAAUCCCUGGGCUUAACCUAGGAAUUGCAUUCAAAACUUCUAGUCUAGAGUACAGUAGAGGGAAGUGGAAUUUCCGGUGUAGCGGUGAAAUGCGUAGAGAUCGGAAGGAACACCAGUGGCGAAGGCGGCUUCCUGGACUGAUACUGACACUGAUGUGCGAAAGCGUGGGGAUCAAACAGG
This 253-nucleotide ribosomal RNA is filed under the name uncultured bacterium. RNAcentral describes it as "partial 16S ribosomal RNA". It matches the Rfam family "Bacterial small subunit ribosomal RNA", at positions 524 to 776 of the family's 1533-position model. The record is from RNAcentral.